RNAcentral lists this ribosomal RNA (484 nucleotides) under Hoplisoma melanistium (bluespotted corydoras). RNAcentral's name for it is "Corydoras melanistius (bluespotted corydoras) partial 16S ribosomal RNA". It matches the Rfam family "Bacterial large subunit ribosomal RNA", at positions 1850 to 2543 of the family's 2925-position model. The record is from RNAcentral. Lineage: Eukaryota; Metazoa; Chordata; Actinopteri; Siluriformes; Callichthyidae.
AGGUCCUGCCUGCCCAGUGACUAUGUUAAACGGCCGCGGUAUUUUGACCGUGCAAAGGUAGCGCAAUCACUUGUCUUUUAAAUGAAGACCUGUAUGAAUGGUGGAACGAGGGCCUAACUGUCUCCCUUUUCAAGUCAAUGAAAUUGAUCUACCCGUGCAGAAGCGGGUAUACAAAUACAAGACGAGAAGACCCUUUGGAGCUUAAGAUUAAAAAUCAACUAUGUCAAGUAUUCAUCAAAUAGAACUAAAUAGCAACUGAUCAUAAUCUUCGGUUGGGGCGACCACGGAACAAAAAUAAACUUCCACAUGGACUGAGGACUAACCUUAAAACCAAGAAAAACAUUUCUAAGUCACAGAAUUUCUGACCACACAGAUCCGGCAAAUUGCCGAUCAAUGGACCAAGUUACCCUAGGGAUAACAGCGCAAUCCCCUUUUAGAGUUCCUAUCGACAAGGGGGUUUACGACCUCGAUGUUGGAUCAGGAC